Non-coding RNA from Passer domesticus (house sparrow), 414 nucleotides. NCBI's taxonomy places the organism in Eukaryota, Metazoa, Chordata, Aves, Passeriformes, Passeridae. The record is from the annotation of a RefSeq genome assembly.
AUGCGGCGGGCUCGGGGCGCGGCGCUGCCGGCGCUGGCCGCGCUGAUCAUCGUGGCUGUGGCCAGAGCCCAGGUACAGCAGGAGCCAUUCCUAGAGACCACCGAGGGCAUCGGCAUCAACAUCACCUGCUCACACCCCACGAUACAGAUGGGCGAAAGGAUCCAAUGGUACCGUCAGCUGCGGGACAAAGGCCCCGAAUUCCUUGUGCUGACAGUGAGAGACUCCAAGGCAGUGCCGGCCAUUGCAGGACAGCUGUGGGUGUCGGCAGACCGGCGCUCGAGCGCGCUGUGGCUCGGGCGGCCCCGGCGCGGGGACGCGGCCGUGUAUUACUGCGCGGCAUUCAUCCUUUCCCUGCACAUCAGUAACACCUCACGCGUCCUGAAAAGCAAACACAAGGGUUUGGCAACGCUGUAA